Molecule: ribosomal RNA, 482 nt
Filed under: uncultured bacterium
Lineage: Bacteria
Description: partial 16S ribosomal RNA
Rfam family: Bacterial small subunit ribosomal RNA
Source: RNAcentral
AUUGAACGCUGGCGGCAUGCCUUACACAUGCAAGUCGAACGGUAACGCGGGGCAACCUGGCGACGAGUGGCGAACGGGUGAGUAAUGCAUCGGAACGUGCCCAGAAGUGGGGGAUAGCCCGGCGAAAGCCGGAUUAAUACCGCAUGAGACCUGAGGGUGAAAGCGGGGGAUCGCAAGACCUCGCGCUUUUGGAGCGGCCGAUGUCAGAUUAGCUAGUUGGUGGGGUAAAGGCCUACCAAGGCGACGACCUGUAGCUGGUCUGAGAGGACGACCAGCCACACUGGGACUGAGACACGGCCCAGACUCCUACGGGAGGCAGCAGUGGGGAAUUUUGGACAAUGGGCGCAAGCCUGAUCCAGCCAUGCCGCGUGCGGGAAGAAGGCCUUCGGGUUGUAAACCGCUUUUGUCAGGGAAGAAACGCUCUGGGCUAAUACCCUGGGGUAAUGACGGUACCUGAAGAAUAAGCACCGGCUAACUACGUG